GACGAACGCUGGCGGCGUGCCUAACACAUGCAAGUCGAGCGAACAGACGAGGAGCUUGUUCCUCUGUCGUUAGCCGCGGACGGGUGAGUAACACGUGGAUAAUCUACCUAUAAGACUGAGAUCACUACGGGACACCGGCGCUUAUACCGGAUAAUAUAUUGAAGCGCAUGGUUCAAUAGUGAAUGUCGGUUUUUCUGUCACUUCUCGAUGGAUCUGCGCCGCAUUAGCUAGUUGGUAAGGUAACGGCUUACGAAGGCGACGAUGCGUAGCCGACCUGCGAGGGUGAUCGGCCACACUGGAACUGAGACACGGUCCAGACUCCUACGGGAGGCAGCAGUAGGGAAUCUUCCGCAAUGGGCGAAAGCCUGACGGAGCAGCGCCGCGUGAGUGAUGAAGGUCUUCGGAUCGUAAAACUCUGUUAUGAGGGAAGAACAGAUGUGUAAGUAACUAUGCACGUCGUGUCGGUACCUAAUCAGAAAGCCACGGCUAACUACGUG
Molecule: ribosomal RNA, 497 nt
Filed under: uncultured bacterium
Lineage: Bacteria
Description: partial 16S ribosomal RNA
Rfam family: Bacterial small subunit ribosomal RNA
Source: RNAcentral